GCGGACGGGUGAGUAAUGUCUGGGAAACUGCCUGAUGGAGGGGGAUAACUACUGGAAACGGUAGCUAAUACCGCAUAACGUCGCAAGACCAAAGUGGGGGACCUUCGGGCCUCAUGCCAUCAGAUGUGCCCAGAUGGGAUUAGCUGGUAGGUGGGGUAACGGCUCACCUAGGCGACGAUCCCUAGCUGGUCUGAGAGGAUGACCAGCCACACUGGAACUGAGACACGGUCCAGACUCCUACGGGAGGCAGCAGUGGGGAAUAUUGCACAAUGGGCGCAAGCCUGAUGCAGCCAUGCCGCGUGUGUGAAGAAGGCCUUCGGGUUGUAAAGCACUUUCAGCGGGGAGGAAGGCGGUGAGGUUAAUAACCUCGCCGAUUGACGUUACCCGCAGAAGAAGCACCGGCUAACUCCGUGCCAGCAGCCGCGGUAAUACGGAGGGUGCAAGCGUUAAUCGGAAUUACUGGGCGUAAAGCGCACGCAGGCGGUCUGUCAAGUCGGAUGUGAAAUCCCCGGGCUCAACCUGGGAACUGCAUUCGAAACUGGCAGGCUAGAGUCUUGU
This 558-nucleotide ribosomal RNA is filed under the name Klebsiella sp. RNAcentral describes it as "bacterial SSU rRNA". It matches the Rfam family "Bacterial small subunit ribosomal RNA", at positions 98 to 652 of the family's 1533-position model. The record is from RNAcentral. Lineage: Bacteria; Pseudomonadati; Pseudomonadota; Gammaproteobacteria; Enterobacterales; Enterobacteriaceae.